This 84-nucleotide transfer RNA is filed under the name Planctomycetota bacterium. RNAcentral's name for it is "tRNA-Leu". It matches the Rfam family "tRNA". Rfam says of the family: Transfer RNA (tRNA) molecules are approximately 80 nucleotides in length. Their secondary structure includes four short double-helical elements and three loops (D, anti-codon, and T loops). Further hydrogen bonds mediate the characteristic L-shaped molecular structure. tRNAs have two regions of fundamental functional importance: the anti-codon, which is responsible for specific mRNA codon recognition, and the 3' end, to which the tRNAs corresponding amino acid is attached (by aminoacyl-tRNA synthetases). tRNAs cope with the degeneracy of the genetic code in two manners: having more than one tRNA (with a specific anti-codon) for a particular amino acid; and 'wobble' base-pairing, i.e. permitting non-standard base-pairing at the 3rd anti-codon position. Lineage: Bacteria; Pseudomonadati; Planctomycetota. The record is from RNAcentral.
GCGGGAGUGGCGAAACGGCAGACGCGCGAGACUUAGGAUCUCGUGGGGAAACCCGUGGGGGUUCGAGUCCCCCCUUCCGCACCA